UUUGAGCCAUAUUUCUUCUUCCCUCUCGGUUACAUGUAGUUAAUUUCAGAAAGGAGAAUUCUUGGGCCUGUUUAGAAAAGGUAGGAGGGACCCUAUAUGUUGAAAGGGGAUUGAGGAGUGAACUUAUCUCAAGGUUUUAUAAAUCAAAACCAGUUAAAGGUGGGAGCACAAUAGAUAGCACUCCAAACCCUGUAUUGCCAGCUGAGCCGUGAAGAGCCUUAUUGAAGAUCCAGAUCAUGUAAAUUUAUUUUGAGCAAUUGCUAGCUAAUGUAACCACAAGAGUACAUGUAUGUCUUUAUUUUAUUAGUUUGAUGCUCCACGUAAUCUUGGGUUAGGUCCUAGUCUUUUGGGCUAUUUUGGAAUGUAAUUAUAUACAUUGGUGCUAGGGAGCAGACCUCUAAAAUGUACGGGCCGCUAUAAAAUUGUUGGGGAAGUUUGAUUUAUAGUGGAGAUUCUUAGGAAAAAAAAAUUUCUACGAGUAGCUUUAUAUUUUGGAUUAUAAUAGCUAUGUGCUAGCAGAUGAAGGUUUUAUUCGA
Long non-coding RNA from Neltuma alba, 536 nucleotides. RefSeq lists it as uncharacterized. The record is from RefSeq and is a predicted model, not a curated record. The transcript has 3 exons. NCBI's taxonomy places the organism in Eukaryota, Viridiplantae, Streptophyta, Magnoliopsida, Fabales, Fabaceae.